Ananas comosus (pineapple) is the source of this 486-nucleotide long non-coding RNA. RefSeq lists it as uncharacterized. The transcript is spliced from 4 exons. NCBI's taxonomy places the organism in Eukaryota, Viridiplantae, Streptophyta, Magnoliopsida, Poales, Bromeliaceae. The record is from RefSeq and is a predicted model, not a curated record.
AUGAGAACUUUUCUCUUUCCUCCCUUCAUCUCUUUUCUUCUACUCUCUCUCUAGGCUAAGGAAAGCUUGAGGAAAUUGGGGUUGGCAGCCUUGAGGAUUGCGGUUCAGGUGGAGGAGUUGAUCCGAACUGAGGAAGGGUUGAUGAGACUGAUGCAUUGAGUGAUUUCCUUGCUGGUCCGAGCUAAGAGGAACUUCCUAGCAGGGAAUUCCUGCUGCUGAACAACUGGUACAGCAUCUAAGUAAGCUAAGAGCUUGGGCUUAAUGGAUGCUAUAGAGCAGGGAGUUCAGUAGAGAGAGCUUGGAAUUGGGACUUGAGACUUGGGGCUUUGGGUUAGUUAAUGCUGAAAGAGAUUGGAGGAGUCUCCAAUUAAGGUUGAUUGAAGUUGCUGAAUUGGAAAUCAGCAAAGGUGCUGACUUGGAAAUCAGCAUAGGGAAUUUUGAAACUAAGGUAAAUGGCUAACUUCUCAUCUAGGAUUAUAGUAAUUG